AUAUCUCUCCGUACGGGAAGGAUGAGAAGCUUCGACUAAGGUUCGAUUCGAGCGCAGCGAGAAAGCGUUGCCAACGGCAACGACCCGAAGGGCGAAGCGCGCAGCGCUGAGUAAUCCUUCCCCCACCACCA
This 131-nucleotide small RNA is filed under the name Salmonella enterica. RNAcentral's name for it is "RtT sRNA". It matches the Rfam family "RtT RNA". Rfam says of the family: This family represents a bacterial cis-regulatory element known as RtT RNA. The exact function of RtT is unknown although it is thought that it may be involved in changing the cellular response in relation to amino acid starvation. RNAcentral also lists the same sequence under 2 other names. The record is from RNAcentral. Lineage: Bacteria; Pseudomonadati; Pseudomonadota; Gammaproteobacteria; Enterobacterales; Enterobacteriaceae.